RNAcentral lists this ribosomal RNA (277 nucleotides) under uncultured prokaryote. RNAcentral describes it as "partial 16S ribosomal RNA". It matches the Rfam family "Bacterial small subunit ribosomal RNA", at positions 524 to 800 of the family's 1533-position model. The record is from RNAcentral.
UACGGAGGGUGCGAGCGUUAAUCGGAAUUACUGGGCGUAAAGCGCGCGUAGGCGGUCUGAUCAGCCGGUUGUGAAAGCCCCGGGCUCAACCUGGGAACGGCAUCCGGAACUGUCAGGCUAGAGUGCAGGAGAGGAAGGUAGAAUUCCCGGUGUAGCGGUGAAAUGCGUAGAGAUCGGGAGGAACACCGGUGGCGAAGGCGGCCAACUGGGCUGGAUCUGACGCUGAGGCGCGAAAGCGUGGGGAGCAAACAGGAUUAGAUACCCCCGUAGUCCCUGA